UUGCGCGCCUGAGAAUAGGGAAGGGCAGCAGCAGAAGUAGGAGGAGGAGCAGUGUGAGGAGUCACAGUAGUAGCAGCAAGAGGAGCAACAACAGAAGCAGCAUGAAGAGCCGUAGGAGGAGAAUCAGGUGACUUAGCAGCACUUACGACUUUAACAGCAGUGAAUUGGGAAUGAACCUCCUUGUUCAUAGUGCGUCUCCGCUUAACGACUCGUCUUACUAUACUUGUCCCUUUGUAGUCCAUUAUUUUCCUCUUUUGCUGGGGACCGAAUUCUGACCGACCCUUCAACGUCCAUAAUGGAACGUAUUACUGCCUCUCGAAGAUAUUGACGUCAAUGUCGGCCCAAUAUGCGAUCAACAUUUUUUCCGCAGUUGGCUCCAACAUCCUCACUGCACACAACUGCACCAAAACAUACAUUGCCAUUAGUUAUAG
Molecule: long non-coding RNA, 431 nt
Filed under: Theobroma cacao (cacao)
Lineage: Eukaryota; Viridiplantae; Streptophyta; Magnoliopsida; Malvales; Malvaceae
Description: long non-coding RNA (TCAC_LNC005294)
Source: RNAcentral